This 73-nucleotide transfer RNA is filed under the name Bos taurus (domestic cattle). RNAcentral describes it as "tRNA-Arg (CCT) (tRNA-Arg-CCT-30-1)". It matches the Rfam family "tRNA". Rfam says of the family: Transfer RNA (tRNA) molecules are approximately 80 nucleotides in length. Their secondary structure includes four short double-helical elements and three loops (D, anti-codon, and T loops). Further hydrogen bonds mediate the characteristic L-shaped molecular structure. tRNAs have two regions of fundamental functional importance: the anti-codon, which is responsible for specific mRNA codon recognition, and the 3' end, to which the tRNAs corresponding amino acid is attached (by aminoacyl-tRNA synthetases). tRNAs cope with the degeneracy of the genetic code in two manners: having more than one tRNA (with a specific anti-codon) for a particular amino acid; and 'wobble' base-pairing, i.e. permitting non-standard base-pairing at the 3rd anti-codon position. RNAcentral also lists the same sequence under 1 other name. Lineage: Eukaryota; Metazoa; Chordata; Mammalia; Artiodactyla; Bovidae. The record is from Rfam by way of RNAcentral.
UCUCUGGUGGUCCAGUGGCUAAGACUGCACGCUCCUAAUGUGCAGGGCCCAGGUUCAAUCCCUGGUCAGGGAA